UUUGGGUAAAAAUUGCCAUUUUUGGAAUCAUUGGGGGCGAAUUUGGGUCAAAAAAUGCCAUUUUGGGGUCAUGGGGGCCAUUUUGGGGUGGAAAAUGCCAUUUUUGGGGUCAUGGGGAGCCAUUUUGGGGUGGAAAAUGGCAUUUUGGGAUCAUUGGGGGCCGUUUUGGGGUGGAAAAUGCCGUUUGGGGGUCAUUGGGCACCAUUUUAGGUUGAAAAAUGCCAUUUUGGGGUCAUUGGGAGCCACUUUGGGUCAAAAAAUCCCAUUUUGGUGCCAUUUUGGGAGCAUUUGGAGUCAAUGGGUGCCACUUUGGGUCAAAAAAUGCCAUUUUGGGGUCAUUGGGAGCCAUUUUGGGGUCAUUUGGGGAGCAUUUGGGGUCAUUGAGGUCGAUUUUGGGUCGAAAAAUCCCAUUUUGGGGUCAUUGGGGGCCAUUUUGGGUCAGAAAAUGCCAUUUUGGGGUCAUUUUGGGUGCCACUUUGGGUCAAAAAAUGCCAUUUUGGGGUCAUUGGGAGCCAUUUUAGGUUGAAAAAUGCCAUUUUGGGGUCAGUGGGCGCCAUUUUGUGUCAGAAAUCCCCCUUUUGGGGUCAUCGGGUGCCAUUUUGGGAUGAAAAACGCCAUUUUGGGGCCACUGGUUGCCACUGUGGGUCAGGAAAUGCCCCUCGGGGGCCACAUUGCCCCGAUUUUGGGGUAAAAAAGGCCGAUUUUGGUGCAUUCUGCCCUCAGAGCUCCGGUGCCCACAGAGUUUGACUUCGAGGACGAACCCACGGCGCCUCGCAGCGCCCUGAUGGAGCGCCGCCGCACCCCAGGUCCCACAGAUUUGGGUCAAAUUCCCCCGGAUUUGGGUUUCUCUCUUGUUUGGGGUCGUUUCUGCCCUUUUUGGGGUCGUUUCUGCCUCUUUUUGGGGCCGUUUCUGCCUCUUUUUGGGGUCGUUUCUGCCCUUUUUGGGGCCGUUUCUGCCUCUUUUUGGGGUCGUUUCUGCCUCUUUUUGGGGUCGUUUCUGCCUCUUUUGGGGCCAGUUUUGGGCCAAAUUCCCCCCAAUUUGGGUUUCUCUCUUUUUUGAGGGCUGUCUCUGCCUCUUUU
This 1080-nucleotide long non-coding RNA is filed under the name Phasianus colchicus (ring-necked pheasant). RNAcentral describes it as "lncRNA (ENSPCLG00000017565.1)". The record is from RNAcentral. Lineage: Eukaryota; Metazoa; Chordata; Aves; Galliformes; Phasianidae.